Molecule: ribosomal RNA, 706 nt
Filed under: uncultured Bacilli bacterium
Lineage: Bacteria; Bacillati; Bacillota; Bacilli
Description: bacterial SSU rRNA
Rfam family: Bacterial small subunit ribosomal RNA
Source: RNAcentral
ACAUGCAAGUCGAGCGGACCGACGGGAGCUUGCUCCCUUAGGUCAGCGGCGGACGGGUGAGUAACACGUGGGUAACCUGCCUGUAAGACUGGGAUAACUCCGGGAAACCGGGGCUAAUACCGGAUGCUUGAUUGAACCGCAUGGUUCCAAUCAUAAAAGGUGGCUUUUAGCUACCACUUACAGAUGGACCCGCGGCGCAUUAGCUAGUUGGUGAGGUAACGGCUCACCAAGGCGACGAUGCGUAGCCGACCUGAGAGGGUGAUCGGCCACACUGGGACUGAGACACGGCCCAGACUCCUACGGGAGGCAGCAGUAGGGAAUCUUCCGCAAUGGACGAAAGUCUGACGGAGCAACGCCGCGUGAGUGAUGAAGGUUUUCGGAUCGUAAAACUCUGUUGUUAGGGAAGAACAAGUACCGUUCGAAUAGGGCGGCACCUUGACGGUACCUAACCAGAAAGCCACGGCUAACUACGUGCCAGCAGCCGCGGUAAUACGUAGGUGGCAAGCGUUGUCCGGAAUUAUUGGGCGUAAAGCGCGCGCAGGCGGUUUCUUAAGUCUGAUGUGAAAGCCCCCGGCUCAACCGGGGAGGGUCAUUGGAAACUGGGGAACUUGAGUGCAGAAGAGGAGAGUGGAAUUCCACGUGUAGCGGUGAAAUGCGUAGAGAUGUGGAGGAACACCAGUGGCGAAGGCGACUCUCUGGUCUGUAA